CUUUGGCAAGUCGAGCGAACAGAGAAGGAGCUUGCUCCUUCGACGUUAGCGGCGGACGGGUGAGUAACACGUGGGCAACCUACCUUAUAGUUUGGGAUAACUCCGGGAAACCGGGGCUAAUACCGAAUAAUCUGUUUCACCUCAUGGUGAAACACUGAAAGACGGUUUCGGCUGUCGCUAUAGGAUGGGCCCGCGGCGCAUUAGCUAGUUGGUGAGGUAACGGCUCACCAAGGCGACGAUGCGUAGCCGACCUGAGAGGGUGAUCGGCCACACUGGGACUGAGACACGGCCCAGACUCCUACGGGAGGCAGCAGUAGGGAAUCUUCCACAAUGGGCGAAAGCCUGAUGGAGCAACGCCGCGUGAGUGAAGAAGGAUUUCGGUUCGUAAAACUCUGUUGUAAGGGAAGAACAAGUACAGUAGUAACUGGCUGUACCUUGACGGUACCUUAUUAGAAAGCCACGGCUAACUACGUGCCAGCAGCCGCGGUAAUACGUAGGUGGCAAGCGUUGUCCGGAAUUAUUGGGCGUAAAGCGCGCGCAGGUGGUUUCUUAAGUCUGAUGUGAAAGCCCACGGCUCAACCGUGGAGGGUCAUUGGAAACUGGGAGACUUGAGUGCAGAAGAGGAUAGUGGAAAUUCCAAGUGUAGCGGUGAAAUGCGUAGAGAUUUGGAGGAACACCAGUGGCGAAAGGCGACUAUCUGGUCUGUAACUGACACUGAGCGCGAAAGCGUGGGGAGCAAACAGGAUUAGAUACCCUGGUAGUCCACGCCGUAAACGAUGAGUGCUAGUGUUUAGGGGGUUUCCGCCCCCUUAGUGCUGCAGCUAACGCAUUAAAGCACUCCGCCUGGGGAGUACGGUCGCAGACUGAAACUCAAGAUUGACGGGGGCCCGCACAGCCGUUGAGCAUGUGUUAUUCGAAGCCAACGCGAGACUAACCAGGAUUGACAUUCCGUUGACACUGUAAAGAAAUAUAGGUUUCCUUCGGGGGCCACGUGACCAAGUGUGU
RNAcentral lists this ribosomal RNA (1005 nucleotides) under Lysinibacillus fusiformis. Its description in RNAcentral is "bacterial SSU rRNA". It matches the Rfam family "Bacterial small subunit ribosomal RNA", at positions 52 to 1043 of the family's 1533-position model. The record is from RNAcentral. Lineage: Bacteria; Bacillati; Bacillota; Bacilli; Caryophanales; Bacillaceae.